This is a non-coding RNA of Anas platyrhynchos (mallard), 6129 nucleotides long. NCBI's taxonomy places the organism in Eukaryota, Metazoa, Chordata, Aves, Anseriformes, Anatidae. The record is from RefSeq and is a predicted model, not a curated record.
AAUCUAGGAUUUCUUUGAGCUAUGUGCACUGUGAUAUCCAUCGUGCAAAGAUAUUGUAUGCAUUACCACUCUGAUUUUCUCUGCCUUAAGCACAGCAGGAUUUCUUGGGCAGCAGCAAGGGAACUGCUGGAACAACCUUCACAAAAAUCAGGUGUGACUGAAUAGCAUCUGCAUUCUGGGUACCUGCUAUUUUGAUGUUCAUGUUGUUGUCGAGCAGAAGAUUUUCAGCCUUCAGGUCACGGUGCACAAUCUUUCGGCCAUGGCAAUACUCCACUGCCGAGAGGAUCUGCCAGAAUUUGCGCCUGGCCUCAGACUCACUCAGACGGCCGUGGCUGGCGAGGUAAUCUGUUAAAAUAAAGUCGGUUUAAACAGAUUAGACAGCAAGCAGUAACCCUGGAAAUUAAGUGAUUUCUGUCAAAUAUACUCAAAUGCAUCAACUACUCAAAAUUUCAGCCGAUCCCAGCUUCCAACACAUUAUUCUUGCAUUCUCCUCUCCUAAAGAGUAGGGACAAAAAAGCUGCUGCCUAGUAGAACUGUGAAACUCAACCUUUUAUUCCUUCUUUUAUGGCUGACUAUUCUGAUAAAUAUUUUCACAUAACUCCUGUGGAAUGAGGAAUACUUGGAAUAUCUUGCUUCCCCAUCACCAGGUGCUUUUCAGCUUCUCAUCAAUUCCCAGCAGCUUCACGCCACACACCUUCCUGCCCAGCCUCAGCACGCUAUGUGGUGGCUAAAAGCAUUUUUCCUUCGGAAAUUAAAACAAAUAACCAUAAGGUACCCAUCCUGACCUCUCUCUUGUCUUCGUUGCAUCACAAGCAGAAAGAACAUUUUGUUUUCAUAUUUGAUUAUGUUGUAAAACUAAUGUUAGCCCUGAAACAAAUGAUAGCUCUGAAGCUGACGACGUCAUUUAUCCCCAAGAACAAAAACAAGCGAAGCAGCAGCUGUGCGAGUCUUGACAGAAACAGCUUCUACAGCCAGUUCUUUUCUUGCUCUUACAACGCAGAAAAAGCAAAGAACCAGCCAUUAGGAUGGGUUCAGAAUUGCCUCCUACAUCCCACAAAGAACGUGGUUAAUGGCCAAGGUGCAGAAAAUGCACAUAGGUGUGCUGGGCAGGGAUGACGGGCAAAGGCUGGGCGUAUCUCACAGAAUUGUCUAGCUUGGAAGAGACCUCAAGAUCAUCGAGUCCAACCUCUGACCUAACACUAACCAAUCUCCAGCCAAUUGCUGCAGCACAACUAGCACUGAAAUUAAACAGCAAAACAGAGAGCAAGAAAUGAGCUUAUGGGAUGAAUUAUAAGAGUUUGGUUAUUUUUUUCCAAGAUUAAAAAAAGCAGAUUUUGUUUACAAGAUGCACAAUCGGUGCCUCUUUCUUUCUGUGAGAUGACAGAGGGAUGUGAGGCUAUGCCAUGGCCUCCUGCAUCACACAAACACACCUCCCCUCGUACAAGUUGAUACAAGCUCAGCUUUUAAUUGUGAGGACUAUUUACUCGUGUACGUAAUGUGAUGUUAUCAGACAUCACAUACAGAGGUGUUCUGAAUGUGCUAAUCACGUAGAAUGUCCAGUCACGUAACAUAACCUGUGCAUGGAUUUUCAUCCCUCUCCCCACAUCUAUCAGAGGGGCUAGGAGGAAAAGAAAUGCAGUUGGGAACAGACUAGCUGGACAGGGCAAUAACAGCUACCCAUGAUCUACAAUAUAAUGCACUUAAGUCACACAUAUGAUGAUCAAUGACCCAAUAAGCUUUUGGAAAAGCUUGCCUAUGGACUGUUGAUUUCUGCUUGGAUAAAUCAGAAAAGACAAAAUUAAAUUUAUAUAAUCUAAUGUUCCUAAAAUAAGUUGGUACUUUGGUUCCUAAUAACAUUAUAAUGUUGUUACAUUAACUUGCAGUCCCACGUUUCAUUUCCAUGGCAGGUAAGCUUACUCUGUACUCACAGUGAGGUGAUGAAGUACAGCCUUAGGAGUUACUGUAUGAAUACUAACCUUCCAAAACACUAAAGAAGGUGCUUUACUGAUAUUUGGCAAAUAAGCGGGCAAAGGACCAACAGGAACGUGAGACAACCAGAGUUGUGCUUUCAGUUACCUGUAAAGCUAUGGAAAAUUAGCCAAAUUUAGCAGAACUACUUUGGACUCAUGUUUGUGCAAGACGACUGGCCUUAGCAUACCGCAAAGACAUCAACUUUCAGUACGAACUAGACAAAAUGCAGAGGAACAGCAGUACGAAGAUGUGUAGGAACUGUGUCAUGGUGGUGCCAUCAGGAGAAGGUUUCCUCAUCAGCUCUGGAUUCCUCAGUUCUGCCACAAAUGCUUACGUGACCCCGUGAAUACCCCGAUGCUGUACGGCACACCAUGGAAAGCACCCAUGGGGAAGCUGGGCUGUUGUGCACACUGCAACGGGACGUGCAACGGAGUGCCACCGAGCGAUACUCAACUACCUCACAAUUUUAAAUUGGGGAUUUAAAAAAAACACAACUGUGUAUCUUUUGUUUCAGCAAUUUCACUGUGCUGUCAGCAGUUCUCCUGUGCCAUUUCAGCUCUACAUCAGAGCGCUGAGCUGUUUGAUUUGUUUUGGCAAAGCCAAAGCCUUUCAGAUUAGGCAAACAAAACUUUUUUGUAUUUUUUUUUUUUAUUUACAGUAACAAUUUAAAACCAGCUUAUCAUUAGUUUAAGAAUACACUAAUGGCAUCUGAGCAACAUGAAAAAAUAUAUCAGCAGUGAAACUAGAGCUAAUAAUUUAACAUUAAAAAAAAAAGAUUGCAAUAUCUAGGAGAUACAGAAUAAAACAUAGCAAUGCAGUGAUGACUUGAAGAUCGUAUCUCACUGCAUCACAGAACACCAGCUAACAAAUUCCACUUGAAUACAGCUAGUGGAGGCAUGAAACACUGUCCUUCCCUACUGGCAUUACCAGCCAAAUCACUGGAAGAUUUCACCAGCCUGCAGGUACACGCAGGAUGAAGGCAGUACCCUGAAAAUGUGGAAGACUACAGCUCGAGUCCCUGGUCUCUGACUGCCUUCCAUCAGCACGGAGUCCUGCCUUGAAAUGCUCUUUCAAAGCUAAGGAAUACGUGAGGAAAAAACAAACAAACAGCAACAAAAAAAAACCCACUGCUUAAUACGUUCAAAUUCAAUGACGCAAAACUAGGAAAUUUAUGAAAUAAGUCUUAAAAUAACUGUUUGAGCUGCCACCAGUCCCUUCUAAUUAUCAUUUACGCAAAGGUCCCAUGAACAAGACUCAUCAUUUAGAGACCAGCUGGCACAACCAUUUCAGUCUGAAUUCAGUUAGCAGGUUAAAACAGCUGCUUCUGCAAGCAGGAAAAAGAACACAACGGAACGGAGGUUUUCGGUCUACCUCUGUUUACUUACAAGGAUCUGUGACAAAAUCCCUAAGUAAAUGAUUAAUCAGCUCUUCCAAGCUAGUUACGUAACCUCAAUGACCCAAAAAGGAUCAUCGUGCCCAACACGAUGCCAAAGCAGCAAGGUAACACAGAAUACCUGGUUUUGUUAGGUUGUGUGGUUUGUUUGCUUGUUUUUUUAAACUAACAUCAUAUUGUUUAUGGGCGUUAUAGGUGCUCGUGAUGUUUUCAUUUAAGCUGUUCUGCUUUCUCUGUGAUACACAGCUCGUAUCAAGCACACUAAAACCAGAAAAUACAUUUCCAGUAAAACUUCACAGAAGGUGAACGUCAGCUUUGUUGUUACUAGAAGAAAAGUCAAAGGAAGAAAUAUGCUGUUCAGAGGAAGGGGGCACAAACCAUGAGAAUUCUUGCAGAAAUUAAUAAAACCAUGAAAAAAAUAUUGUCAUUGGAUCGUGUAAGACCAACAACCUCGCUGACCUCGUGCUCUUGUACAUGACAAGUUCUUUGCUGCUACUUGGGCAACGAGGCAAUGCUGCUACUGCGUGGAGCAUUGAUAAUUGAAGAAUUGAUAGUUCUGAAAUACAUUGUCACUCAUAUGGUUUAAACAACCAUUGCAAUCAUUAAUACAUCAUCCUGUUAAUACACUCAGUAAAGCAGGCUUGUUUCAAAGAUGUUUUCUUGGGGGAUCUCAGUUGGAGUGCAACAAGAGAGACCUCAGCUGCAGUACAACUGUUUCAGCAACCCUCACAAACAUUUUUAAGCACUUUGUUCGAUCUGAUCUACAAAAGCUGCAGAUCUAAAAACUCUCCUCAGAGCUUCUAACCUGCUUGGGUCUUAAUGCCUUUUCAGCUGGUUUAACUUGGCAAAGCACGAGAACAAACAAAAGCCUGGCAGCAAGGGGAGAUCAUAAUAUUUGCAAGCAAAAUAUCACUCAGUCACAGAGUGACUGACAAAUCACAUGAUGGCAAGGUGAAGUCAGAUAUCAAAGACACAAACUAAAUCACACUGAAUGCAAGCCAGCCCUGUAAGCUGUUAAUCCAUCCUUUGUUAGCAAUGCAGCAAAUACGUUAAUGGACCUAAACUGUCAUUUGCUUUCACAGCUUUAGCCUGUCAGGGCUCAUUUAGAGCUUCCAAACCGCCUUUAGCAGUAGUCUUGGCCUUGCACUUUCCACCAAGUCUAGCAGCCUGCAUGGAAUGGGUAAUUUAUUCUGAAAUACGCUACUUUAUCUCCUGGUGAAGUAGAAUAUGCCAUGAUCUCUCCUAACAGGUGAAGCUGGUGCACGCAAGGAUACUGUUUGUACAUUAACUAGUUUCAAAUAGGACAGGCUGGGACACAGGCAUGGCGCCAGCUCCUGGAUUUCAGCAAGGACUUAAAGGCAGCUGAAAUUUGCUAGAGACAUCCUGCCAUGAAUGCUCGAGGCUGGACGCUGGUUGCACACUCACGUGUAGUUCUGGAGCUAGCACCCAGGAGUAACUUAGGUGAAGAGCAAAGCACCCCCUUGUCAUUUGCAACUACAGAAAUGACAAAGCCUUUAUGUGCCUUUAUAAACAUAGUUUGGUGAAUCUCAUCCUCACUUCAUACCCUUCAUCUACAAGCUUUAAGUUGUUUGUUUUUUUCGUCCAUUUUUCUGUAGUGAGAUAGAAACCAGAAGUCAUCUUAGAUUCAGCUGGAUCCACAGCAGGCAGAAGCAGGACUUUUGCUCAAAAGCAGCUUCCUGUCCGACCUUUUCAGUACCACAGAGUACAUCUGUUUACUGGGGAGACAGGGACAGGCUGGAGAGAGCACAGUGAAGCACAAUGAGGAUGGUUAAAGGACUGGAGUGCCCAUCACACGAUGGGAGGCUGAGAGAGUGGAGGGCAUUCAGCCUGAAGACCACGUUCAGAAAGGAAUUGUAUAGCUGUGUAUAAAUACUUGACAGGAGGAAAAAAAGUCACUUUUAUUACCAAUAACCAGUGAAAGGACAAGGGGAACAAACUGAAACAAGAGACAGAUGAUCCUGCGCCAAGGCUAGGACAAAACUGAGAGCUGCUCAAGCCUAUUCCAGUCCAGCUUUCCAACUGUGCCCAAAAACAAAUGAAAUUGUCCAGGACAAACCGCUAGCUCCUUCUGCAGUCAGAAAAGGAGAGGCUCCUGUGGAGGGAGAGUCGAAGCUCUGUAAGGCCUUGCUCUGAACCAGACCCCCGAGAGGCCUCUCACUCCCAGCGGGUAACAGAGGGAUCAGCUUUUCAGGUAAAAACUUAAACCUUGCCACAAACCUACAGAUUUUUUUGUUGUUGUUGUUUUAAAUCCCCCUCCAGUGCAGUCACAGGUCAGUCAAAGAACAAACCUGAGCACAAUAGUUAAAUGAUGCCAGGAGGCCGAUUAACUGAAGUAACAGCAGGUUCCACAGGUUUCUAAUCACCUUGCUUUAGGAGAGGAAAAGUAAAAACUUCCAGACCACAAAGACACACAGCAAAAUGUUAAAAACUUCAAAGACACUUGGGUACAGAACUGCAGAGGACCAUCCCACUGUCUGCGCUGUUUGAAAACUAAUGGUGGAAAAGUGAGACUAUUUCAUACCCCAUUAGUCUGGAAGUGACAAAUUCAGCACACCCAAUGAAUGAUCAAGAUGGGAAAAAGGAAAACAUGGUGCAGCUUGAGUCUCCUUUCUACUUCUGUUUAUAUUUAUUUAAAUAUUUAUUUUUCAUAAAUACUACCCCAGAUUUUCUCUACUUCCAAGUUAUGUUGAAAUUGCCGCGGACGUGAUAUCCUGCUUAUUACAAACAGUCCAAAGAUAAGGACC